This 347-nucleotide long non-coding RNA is filed under the name Aquila chrysaetos chrysaetos. RNAcentral describes it as "lncRNA (ENSACCG00020001725.1)". The record is from RNAcentral. Lineage: Eukaryota; Metazoa; Chordata; Aves; Accipitriformes; Accipitridae.
CAUCUGACCAUGCGGUGAAGUGAUGCAGGGAGCUAUGCCAGCAGAAAAUGAAUCAUUCAUUAUGUGUGCCAAAAUUUUGAGCUGGUGUGUGGGCCACAGGAGGUGUUCUUAGGUAGAUCCUUCACCUCCUGGUGCCCCUAAGAGUCUCAGGUGGGACAGCUUCACCACGGGACCCUGUGCCUCCAUCGGUGGUGUCAUUUGCUGGGAUUCACCUCCAGAAGGAGACCUAAGAAUCCAUCAUUACAAAAUCUGCUAUCAUAUACCCUGUGGCAUCAUAUAAUUAAAAUAGAUGAUUAUGCAGAUGCAAAUGGAUCUCUAAGGAAACCUAGCACAUGGACAUAACACCA